RNAcentral lists this ribosomal RNA (361 nucleotides) under Sordariomycetes sp. genotype 99. RNAcentral's name for it is "eukaryotic LSU rRNA". The stretch from base 47 to 200 matches the Rfam family "5.8S ribosomal RNA". Lineage: Eukaryota; Fungi; Ascomycota; Sordariomycetes. The record is from RNAcentral.
UCUAUUUUACUACUGUAUCUCUGAAUGCUUCAACUUAAUAAGUUAAAACUUUCAACAACGGAUCUCUUGGUUCUGGCAUCGAUGAAGAACGCAGCGAAAUGCGAUAAGUAAUGUGAAUUGCAUAAUUCAGUGAAUCAUCGAAUCUUUGAACGCACAUUGCGCCCAUUAGUAUUCUAGUGGGCAUGCCUAUUCGAGCGUCAUUUCAACCCUUAAGCCUAGUUGCUUAGUGUUGGGAAUCUGCCCUGUAUUUAUAGGGCAGUUCCUUAAAGUGAUCGGCGGAGUUAGGGCAUACUCUAAGCGUAGUAAUAUUCUUCUCGCUUCUGUAGUUGUCCUGGCGGCUUGCCGUUAAACCCCUAUAUUU